UUUUUUUUUUUUGAGACAAAGUCCAGAGUCUUACUGUGUCGCCCAGGCUGGAGUGCAGUGGUGUGAUCUCGGCUCACUGCAACCUCCACCUCCUGGGUUCAAGGGAUUCUCCUGCCUCAAUCUUCCAAGUAGCUGGGGCUACAGGUGCCCAACACCAUGCCCGGUUAAUUUUUUUUUUUUUGGACUUUUAGUAGAGAUGGGGCUUCACUAUGUUGGCCAGGCUGGCCUUGAACUCCCGACCUUGUGAUCCACCCACCUCGGCCUCCCAAAGUGCUGGGAUGACAGGCAUGAGCAGCCGCACAUGGCUCCAUGGCUUCUUUUAAAUAUUUGACUCUCUUGAAAAGCAAGAGAGAUCUAAGUUUUCAAUCAUGGUUGAUUCAUUCUUUCAACAUCCAUUUAUUAAUCUCCUACUAGGUACCAGGCAUGAUGCUCAGUAUGGCGGAGGGGAAUUAGACUCAGUUUCUGUUCUUGUGAAAUCAGAUAAAAAUAAAAGAAACAUUUGUCACAGAGUAAUAGGACAGAAGAAAUAGAAACAUUCAUUAUUUUCCUUUUACAGGCAAGGAAACAAAAACCUCACCUUCAGGGACAUCUCUCAGUAUAAAAAGCAGGGAUGCCAACCAGACCUCUCUAUGCCCCGGUUUCACCUAAUUCUAACCGAAUUAUUCCGCAGUUCCCCUUACGGUCCUCCUUCCUGUACCCUCAACAAGGAGCCAGUUUCUUAUACAGCUGAUAGACAACGGCCCUGGACAGAUUGGUGUUUUCAUCAACCGUGUGAUACAUAAGCUCGCCAAGCCUCUACCCAACACCACAUAAUAUCAUACAUCUUUAGUUUCUAUAAUGUCUUCCACAUGAUUUUACCCCCAAAUGCUUUACAUACUUCACUAAGACAGCUAUAGAAUUAAAAUAAUAAAUCAAGGCAGGGGGACAGAAAGCAAGGAAGUUUAUUCAAGGGAAGAAAAGAUGGGUUUUCAAUGAGACAGGAAAAAGAUGGAAAGCCCUGCUUUGUUUGUGCUAGUCCUGUAACUAAUAACUCUUUUCUCUGUUUUAACUCUUUCUUUGGUUUAUUGUCGCAGGCAGCAUCCCUUGUUCCAUCCCUCAACAAAUCCUCAUCUUGAAAUGACAGCCAGGUACUCCCACUGUAAUAAGAAUCUCAAUUUCCCAAUGCUGCUUUUUAUCAUGCUUUGUUACAAGGCUAUCCCCGCAAAACAUCUGAAAGCUAAAAGAACACUUUAAUUCCUGAGCAUGUGGUGUGAACUGAGUGGGAAAAUAUACAAACUUCUCCAAGCACUUCAAUGCAGGACAGUCUGGAAACUUAUCUGCCCAUCUCCCAUUUGUCUGAGAUUCAUUCAUUCAACAAAUAUUCCUAAUGUAGCAGGUGCCAUGUGGGAGGGAGGGGUGCGCAGGUGGGAUUAUUGUAAUUCUAAUCAGGGAGGUCACGGAGAGCCUUACCAAGAAAGUGGCAUUUGAGCAAAGAUCUGAAGGAAGGGCUGGUUAAGCCAAGCAGAAGAACAAAGCCUAGGGAGAAGGAAUGGCCUUGGCACUUUUAGAGGAAAAGCAAGGAGGUCAAUAUUCCUAGAGCAGAGUAAGCAAGUGGGAGUGUGGCAGAGGAAGAGGGCAGGGGACAGACGGUGCGCACAGAGCCUUGUAAGUCACUGAAAAACCUUUUGCUUUUACUGC
Macaca fascicularis (crab-eating macaque) is the source of this 1677-nucleotide long non-coding RNA. Lineage: Eukaryota; Metazoa; Chordata; Mammalia; Primates; Cercopithecidae. The record is from Ensembl.